GUGCAGCAGUCGAGAAACCUCCGCAAUACACGAAAGUGUGACGGGGCCAUCCCGAGUGCCGUCCGCUGAGGACGGCUUUUCCCCAGUGUACACAGCUGGGGGAAUAAGGAGAGGCAAGCCUGGUGUCAGCCGCCGCGGUAAUACCAGCUCUCCGAGUGGUGGGGACGCUUAUUGGGCCUAAAGCAUCCGUAGCCGGCUGGGCAAGUCCUCCGUUAAAUCCAACGAUUCAAUCGUUGGGCUGCGGGGGAUACUGUCCAGCUUGGGGGCGGGAGAGGCCGACGGUAUUCCCGGGGUAGGGUGAAAUCCUAUAGUCCCGGGAGGACCACCAGUGGCGAAGGCUGUCGGCUAGAACGCGCCCGACGGUGAGGGGAUGAAAGCUGGGGGGAGCGAACCGGAUUAGAUACCCCUGUAGU
This 413-nucleotide ribosomal RNA is filed under the name uncultured microorganism. RNAcentral describes it as "bacterial SSU rRNA". It matches the Rfam family "Archaeal small subunit ribosomal RNA", at positions 330 to 745 of the family's 1478-position model. The record is from RNAcentral.